This is a non-coding RNA of Salmo salar (Atlantic salmon), 54 nucleotides long. NCBI's taxonomy places the organism in Eukaryota, Metazoa, Chordata, Actinopteri, Salmoniformes, Salmonidae. The record is from Rfam.
AAUGCACCAAUUUGUAAGUCGCUCUGGAUAAGAGCGUCUUCUAAAUGACGUAAA